UAAAAAUGUAUAUACACCUUCCGGUUUCGCCAGACGGCAGCGGUGGCGGUGGGAUACUCACAAAAGCGGAGCCCUGACUUCCCAGUCCAAGCUGACGUUGGUGGUGCCGUGGUUGGUCAGUGCUCUGAUGCCCACCCCGGGCACGAAGGCUAGUGAAGUAUUUGGCAAUGAAAAGGCAUUGAUUUUGAUGUUUGUACGACUGGCUGCUCAAAUGAGAAACACAGCUGGGGAGAUGGCUCAGCGGCACAGUGCCCGCCUGGCAAGCGCAAGGUCCUGAGUUCGAUUUCCGGUACAAAAAAAGAAAGAAAAACUUAUUCAAAGCUGGUCCUGGAGGAACUCUCUGACGUCAGGUUGGGUGUGUCUCUUCUUCGCAGAAGGGGAACCAGAUCUCUACCUCCCGGACCCAACACUGACAUUCUCUUUUCAGACAAACACAUUACUUUCCUGCAAGUCAAUUCACGAACUAAGGUGUGGAUGAUGCAUUACAGAUACCUUUAUUCAGAAUUUAGAAUACCACGUGAUAGGGGCAAGUCCUCAAAAAACGAGACCUUCAGGGCAGCUGGGCAUGGUGGGAAUACAUACCUGUAUUCCUGGCACUCUAGGAUGCUGAGACAGGAGGACCUCCAGUUCCAACCUGGCCUAAGUAACUGAAAGACUUAAUGAGACCCCCUUUCAAAAUUAAGGGAAAAAAAGCGCGCGCGGUGUGUGUGGGGUGCUGAUAAUAUAGUUCAGUAUGAAAGCCCCGGGUUCAAUCCCCUGUACCAAAAAACCAACCUGCUGAGCAACAAACCCUCAGGCAGAUCCACCGAGUCACGCCAUCGCCAAAUCCCUGCCUAUGGAAACUGCCGGCUGCGUUCCGCGGGUAAGCCUCGGGGCGUGCUAAGCAGCAAGGUUACUAACACGCUUUCCGACCCAGAACCCGGGCCACACGCUGCGUUACAUCUGCUGUAGUAGGACGAACGCCCCGGCGCUGGGCUCAACUCCGGCUUCUGAGAACACCGCCAGGAAGACCCCGAGACGUCCAGAUCUGUGGAACCCAACCAACCUUCCACUGCUUCCUGGCGGAAGCCGCAAGCGCUCCGCAGCGGAAGUGUGGGGUCCGCGCUUCCGGGGCCGCGACCAGCGCCUGCGCAGUGUGUCUCUCCGGCAGGCUGCACAGCCGCACGCCGAGCAGGCGAUCGGAAGUGCGCGGCCGCUGUCUCGCUAGCGGGGUGGGCUGCAGGGGGCGCCUGAGGAGCGCGGCGCAGCGCCCCUCUUCGGAACCGCGGCCCGUGCCCCGGGCCCUCCGCGACCCGCGGAUCUCCAGUCGCCGCCGACC
RNAcentral lists this long non-coding RNA (1318 nucleotides) under Chinchilla lanigera (long-tailed chinchilla). Its description in RNAcentral is "lncRNA (ENSCLAG00000024686.1)". The record is from RNAcentral. Lineage: Eukaryota; Metazoa; Chordata; Mammalia; Rodentia; Chinchillidae.